CUACGGGAGGCUGCAGUCGAGGAUCUUUCGCAAUGGGCGCAAGCCUGACGAAGCGACGCUGUGUGGACGAUGAAGGCUUUCGGGUUGUAAAGUCCUUUCGCGCAAGAACAAGAGAAGUAGGUGAAUAUCCUGCUGAUUUGAGGGUACUGCGUAAAGAAGCACCGGCUAACUCCGUGCCAGCAGCUGCGGUAAUACGGAGGGUGCAAGCAUUAAUCGGAUUUACUGGGCGUAAAGGGCGCGUAGGCGGGUGAGCAAGUCAAAUGUGAAAUUCCGGAGCUCAACUUCGGAGCUGCAUUUGAAACUGCUUGUAUAUUGAGGGAUGGCGAAGAAAACGGAAUUCCACGUGUAGCGGUGAAAUGCGUAGAUAUGUGGAAGAACACCUGUGGCGAAAGCGGUUUUCUAGCUAUUACCUGACGCUGAGGCGCGAGAGCAUGGGGAGCAAACAGGAUUAGAUACCCGUGUAGUC
RNAcentral lists this ribosomal RNA (466 nucleotides) under uncultured bacterium. Its description in RNAcentral is "partial 16S ribosomal RNA". It matches the Rfam family "Bacterial small subunit ribosomal RNA", at positions 339 to 795 of the family's 1533-position model. The record is from RNAcentral.